AUGGAUGGAGAGAGCAGUGUCACUCAGCCCAGUGUGACGGUGUUGCCUCCCUCCAGUGUGGAGCUGCAGCAGGAGAAGGUCACACUCAUGUGUGUGGCCGACAAGGGCUUCCCCUCGGACUGGACACUGAGCUGGAAGGUUGAUGGGAGCAGCUGGAGCUUGGGGGAGAGCCGCAGCGCCGCCGUUCUGCACGCGGACGGCCUCUACAGCUGGAGCAGCACGCUGAGCCUCCACCCGGAGCAGUGGAGGAACAAGGUGGUGACCUGUGAGGCCUCCAAAGACAACCAACCUACUGUGGUGGGCAGAGUGAACACAGAGCAGUGCUCAGAGCUGUGA
This is a non-coding RNA of Neoarius graeffei (lesser salmon catfish), 336 nucleotides long. Lineage: Eukaryota; Metazoa; Chordata; Actinopteri; Siluriformes; Ariidae. The record is from the annotation of a RefSeq genome assembly.